RNAcentral lists this ribosomal RNA (580 nucleotides) under uncultured bacterium. RNAcentral describes it as "partial 16S ribosomal RNA". It matches the Rfam family "Bacterial small subunit ribosomal RNA", at positions 355 to 932 of the family's 1533-position model. The record is from RNAcentral.
UGGGGAAUUUUGGACAAUGGGCGAAAGCCUGAUCCAGCAAUGCCGCGUGUGUGAAGAAGGCCUUCGGGUUGUAAAGCACUUUUGUCCGGAAAGAAAUCCUUGGCUCUAAUACAGUCGGGGGAUGACGGUACCGGAAGAAUAAGCACCGGCUAACUACGUGCCAGCAGCCGCGGUAAUACGUAGGGUGCAAGCGUUAAUCGGAAUUACUGGGCGUAAAGCGUGUGCAGGCGGUUUGCUAAGACCGAUGUGAAAUCCCCGGGCUCAACCUGGGAACUGCAUUGGUGACUGGCAGGCUAGAGUAUGGCAGAGGGGGGUAGAAUUCCACGUGUAGCAGUGAAAUGCGUAGAGAUGUGGAGGAAUACCGAUGGCGAAGGCAGCCCCCUGGGCCAAUACUGACGCUCAUGCACGAAAGCGUGGGGAGCAAACAGGAUUAGAUACCCUGGUAGUCCACGCCCUAAAACGAUGUCAACUAGUUGUUGGGGAUUCAUUUCCUUAGUAACGUAGCUAACGCGUGAAGUUGACCGCCUGGGGAGUACGGUCGCAAGAUUAAAACUCAAAGGAAUUGACGGGGUCAUAGCUG